Molecule: ribosomal RNA, 329 nt
Filed under: uncultured eukaryote
Lineage: Eukaryota
Description: partial 18S ribosomal RNA
Rfam family: Eukaryotic small subunit ribosomal RNA
Source: RNAcentral
CCCUUAGAUGUUCUGGGCCGCACGCGCGCUACACUGAUGCAUUCAACGAGUCUAAAACCUGCUCUGAUAGGGGUGGGUAAUCUUUUGAAUGCGCAUCGUGAUUGGGAUAGAUGAUUGCAAUUUUUCAUCUUCAACGAGGAAUGCCUAGUAAACGCAAGUCAUCAGCUUGCAUUGAUUACGUCCCUGCCCUUUGUACACACCGCCCGUCGCUCCUACCGAUUGAAUGAUCCGAUGAAUAUCAUGGAUUGAGGAUGCAAGUAGGUUCGCCUAUCUUCAUCUUCGAGAAGUGAAGUAAAUCUUAUCAUUUAGAGGAAGGAGAAGUCGUAACA